UACGUAGGGACCAAGCGUUGUUCGGAUUUACUGGGCGUAAAGGGCGCGUAGGCGGCAAUUCAAGUCAUCUGUGAAAUCUCUGGGCUUAACCCAGAACGGCCAGGUGAUACUGCUUUGCUAGAGUGCGGAAGGGGCAAUCGGAAUUCUUGGUGUAGCGGUGAAAUGCGUAGAUAUCAAGAGGAACACCUGAGGUGAAGACGGGUUGCUGGGCCGACACUGACGCUGACAGCGCGAAAGCCAGGGGAGCAAACGGG
RNAcentral lists this ribosomal RNA (254 nucleotides) under uncultured bacterium. RNAcentral's name for it is "partial 16S ribosomal RNA". It matches the Rfam family "Bacterial small subunit ribosomal RNA", at positions 524 to 776 of the family's 1533-position model. The record is from RNAcentral.